This 62-nucleotide microRNA precursor is filed under the name Xenopus laevis (African clawed frog). RNAcentral's name for it is "Xla-Mir-27-P3c_pre stem-loop". It matches the Rfam family "mir-27 microRNA precursor family", at positions 10 to 80 of the family's 80-position model. Lineage: Eukaryota; Metazoa; Chordata; Amphibia; Anura; Pipidae. The record is from RNAcentral.
AGGGCUUAGCUGUAUUGUGAGCACUGUUACUCUCGCACCUGUUCACAGUGGCUAAGUUCCGC